ACCCCUCACACCCCUCGCACGCCUGGAAACACCCUCGGGGUAACACAAGCCGGGGUUGAGUUUCUUGAAGAGAAGCUGGCUGCAUCCUGGAGCCAGGGAAAGAGGAGCACAGGGGCCAAGCGGUCCAGGGCCACGGAGGAGCAGGACCCCUGGGGAAAGGCCCGGGUCUAGGCCGGGGCCAGGGGACCGUGGUGGAGACCUCAAAAAUGGCAGAACACGGAAGCAGGGCGAGAAAAGUAAACGUAGUCCUUGCGGCAGUUUGAAAUACACGCGGGUAAACGCUGGGUGACUCCGCCCGGAUGCAGAGUGGGGGUCUGUGUCUCUCCCCACAGGCUGCAGGGACCGGGCUCUGGGUAACCAGCAGAAGGUAACAGAACGAGGCUGCUUUUCCUCCAGGCUGUUCUGGUGUCCGCGCGUGGCUUGUGCGCUGACUCCUGACUUGGAGCGCCGCGUGGCCAGAGAAAUCUGGGUGCCUCCAGGCCACCAUGGUGAGAGGAGAGGCCACCGCACGAACGGAAGAAGCGAUGGAGACGGUCUUUACGACCUAAGAACAGAAAGAGUUUCUUAUACACAAUCCGAAAAGUAAAAAUUGAUUGAUUGAUUGAUUGAGAUGGAAUCCCACUCUGUCGUCCAGGUUAGAGUGCAAUGGCUUGAUCUCGGCUCAUUGCAACCUCCGCCUCCCGGGUUCAAGCGAUUCUCCUGCCUCAGUCUCCCGAGUAGCUGGGAUUAUAGGCGCCCGCCACCACGACUGGCUAAUUUUUAUAUUUUUAGUAGAGACGCAGUUUCACCGUGUUGACCAGGCUGGUCUUGAACCCCUGACCUCAGGUGAUCCGCCUGCCUCGGUCUCCCAAAGUGCUGGGAUUACAGGCGUGAGCCACCGUGCUGGGCCAAAAAUCAAUUUUAAAACGACCACAUGAAAAAUAAAUCUCCUGUAUCACAGAGCAUGUUCUGAGGAAAAUGAAAGCCACAGAUCCAGAAGAUAUUUGUGACACAUAUGAAAAACAAAAACUCAUAUUCAAAACAUACACAGCAUUGCUAUGAAUCAUUAAGAAAAAUGAUUUCGUCUCCUCUACAGGAGCCUGAGUGAAGGACAAGGACAGAUCAUUAUAAACCAGGGAGCUUGAAGAGCUAGUUAACAAGCACAGAAAAUAUGUUCCCCCACACUGUUAAUCAAGAAAAUUAAAACUGUAAUGAGAUGCCGCAUUGUAUCCAUGGGAUUUCUAAAAGUACAAAGUUCCACAAUACCCGUUGUUGACGGAGCAGGGAAACCGCAGGAGCCUGCAGGAGAUGAGAUUGUAAAUGUGCAAGGACAUUUUGGAGAAGAGUUGACAACAUCUCACUCACGUGUAUCAAGCCAAGUGCCGAAAGAAGAAUUGGUUGUCAUAAAGAAAACAGAAACCCAGAAUGGAUGUAGCUUAUCCCUCCGAUGGAAAGUUACAAAGAAGUUAAAAUGAAUGGGCUGCAUCUCUGUGUAACAAUUUGGAUCAAUAUCAAAGACACAUUUGUUAAAGCAAGGUGUACAAUGAAACCUGCAACAUGAUUUGUCUGUUUAGUAAAACACAGAAAAUCUAACUCCGCCUGGCUUACGAACACACACAUGUGUUAGAAUUUGGGAAAAGGAAAGGGAGGGAGGCCGGCUACACGUGAACUUUUGGAAAAUCUCAGAGGGUCUGGGGCACCAGGUGGAGACCAUGGCAGCCUUCAGGGAUAUGAGGAUUUCCUGAAGACACCAUCCCAGUCAAGUGGUCUGCCUCAUACUGAGCCACCAGACCACCCAGCAUGUCCUCACCCGCGUGGACAGAUGACAGGGGGCUCUGAGCAUGCCCCAGUGCACCUUACGCACCUGUGAAGGUUGGGAGCCUGAGUGCAGCUCCUGUGGCACUGCCCGUGGCCAGGGAGAUGCCUCCUCAGUGCUCCUGACCCUCGGUGGAGGACCGGCCAGCGUGUGUGCCGACAGUGUGUCCACACAGGUGUGCUGCGCCCAAUGGGCAAGUCGGAAACAAAGGAAAAUGCUCUCUGAAGGAAAAGGCAAAGCAAUUUGGAUUUCUGCGAGAAAAUGAGACUGCAUGUGGCACUGUAAAUACCCUUGCUGCUGAACUUCUCGCUCCCCCCAGAUACACCCUUCAUAUUGACAUGUCUAGAACCUUAAACUGAACCAAGUUGAAAAGUGAGAUUAAUUAGGGCUGAGUUAACAGUUAACACAUACAAUGAAAUAUUGAAUAAGGCUUACUGAGCAAACAAGAAUAUACAGAAGUGGAGGAGACAAAGAGGAUAUUAAAAAUGCAGACAGUGAUGAGGCAGAUAGCUGGGACAAAUAAUGAAAAAUAGUAAAGGAGAUAAGGCAGAUAUUGGAGGAGCAAAGAGUCUCUGAAAUAGAUAUCGGUAUUGAAAGAUGCUAAACACGCUUCUAAAGAGACUUUCUAGCCGACACAGGGAGCUCACUGAUGGAUGAAGUAGAAACAUUUUUAAAUGGAAUCAAACAGGGCAAAGCGGGAGAAGAAAAAGAAGUAGGUAAACCAGUAAAUUAACUUUUCUCGUGUGUGCUGUGUACUAUUUGUGAGUGAGCAAUGAACGCUGUGGCUCCCUGGAGGGGCUGUGGUGGGAAGUUUCACUGCGAUCAAGUAGAGGUGGUGCCUUUGGACCUCUUCUCCUGAACCUGCAGGGAGAGGCGCAGAAUAUUCACAAGGUGAAGAUGCAACAAUUCAAAUGAGUGUCCAGGUUUUCAGGGUGGUUGCUAAACCCCAAAAGACCGAUAGCUUCGGGCAAAAGACUGCAGAAAGAACAGCUUUACAUUUUUACGGAAGCAAUGGGAAAUAUACCCUGUAAGCCUUGAAAAAUUCCCGAAGGGAUUCCUGUUCAUUCCUGUGGAUCCUAAUGGGCCAGCAUAGACCUGUUAGUCAAAAGAGGAUUUAUCUACAUUGCACACUCAUUCAGGCAGGCAGGGAAGUCAACGCCACUUUCAGAUGUUUGUAGAGCAUGAACUCUGUCCGUUCCCACGCCCUCCAAAGGCUGU
This 3013-nucleotide long non-coding RNA is filed under the name Homo sapiens (human). RNAcentral describes it as "neuronal hypoxia inducible, placenta associated". Lineage: Eukaryota; Metazoa; Chordata; Mammalia; Primates; Hominidae. The record is from RNAcentral.